RNAcentral lists this long non-coding RNA (867 nucleotides) under Gossypium barbadense (sea-island cotton). Its description in RNAcentral is "long non-coding RNA (GBAR_LNC005890)". Lineage: Eukaryota; Viridiplantae; Streptophyta; Magnoliopsida; Malvales; Malvaceae. The record is from RNAcentral.
AUUAUAUAAAAUAAAUAAAUAAAGCAAAAUAAGGGACUAAAAUAGAACAUGCGAAAAGGAAUAGAGACCAAAUGGGUAAUUAUUUCAAAUCCAGUACACGUGCUGUUUCCAGGAGUGACUAAUGGUCAGAGGACCAAAAUGAAAAUAAAAUUAAAUUAAAUGGUAAAUUUAAAAGAGAAAAGAAAAAUCAAAUCAGUAUUAUAUCAAAAUAUGCUCAAAAGUGGGAGGAUCUGGGCAACAAUUAUCCCACCCCUUUAAAAACAGGCAUAUCUAAAGGAGUUCGGGUCGGGCAUUCGGGUCAUGUCUUAAAACAGCACCGUUUUGGGGCUUCUGGAACCUGGCCAAAAUGAUGUCGUAUCAUGGUCCCUAUAUAUACCAAAAAAAAAUUUUAAAAAUCAUUUCUAAGCUCACUUUUUUUUUAAAUAAAAAAACUUUAGGGCCCCAUUUUUUUUCUCCCGUCCUUUCCCUUAUUUGGCAUUGGUGCCGGCGAAUCUCCGCCAUGGUCACUAGUCAUCGACAAUGGAAACUACUGCCUCCGGUGGCCGAAGACCCCAAAAAGCUUCAUUUUAUCCCUAUUUUUUAAGGGAAAUCGAAUCUGGGGUCAAAAUCCCUAAGAUCUGGUCAACGCUCAAUAACAAAAAAGAAGACUUUUUGGCUUUUAUCCCUUUUUGGUGCAGCCGUAAGCGAAUCCCAAGAGAUUUGACAACCUUCAAGGUCAAAAGGACCACCGACAACGAUGGCACAAGUGAAAGCUUGAGUCUUUUGUAUUUAUAUAUAUAUGCUUUGAAAGAAAAUGAGAAUACCUUCUUUCUUUUUUUUUAAGCAUUUGUAGUUCUUUGCUUUCUUGUAUUCUAUUUUUUGAUUCAC